RNAcentral lists this long non-coding RNA (4191 nucleotides) under Sus scrofa (pig). Its description in RNAcentral is "lncRNA (ENSSSCG00000047539.1)". Lineage: Eukaryota; Metazoa; Chordata; Mammalia; Artiodactyla; Suidae. The record is from RNAcentral.
AGUCUAAUUCUCUCAGGUUAAGGGAUACUUCUUCCUCCUGUAGGAAAACCAGUGUCACCUCUAUUUGCACAUUCACUUCAAUAUUCCUGAUCUAUAAAUGUGUCUGUUCUGUUUGGAUUCUACUUUCAACCGGUUAUAAAACUUCACCGAUUUCCUCAUUGAGCACUCGUUCUUGGUGCCCAGAGCCACCUUGUUAAGAACCUACCUACCCUGCUGGACGUCUCUUAUGGAGAAGCCCUGAGACUUCAUGGAGAGAAGGGAGGGUUCUAGCUGAGAACCAUCUCUAGAGCCAUCUUCUCCAAGGUGAUGAUCAAGACUUCAGCCAUAGCUGCCUUGGAGAUAUCUAUUAUUGUCCCAAAGGAGGCUGAGCAUGACUGUACUACCAGACCAUCACAGACAAACUGCAGAAAAGGCAUAUAUAUGCUCAAAGUCUUAAUCACCGUCAGCAAGUUUUCCUGAGAAAUAUGACCGUUUUCAAAUUUCACAGAGCUGAAAGAAUGGUUGAGGGUAUCACAGACUUACAGAUUUUUGAAUUGGAAAGAUAAAUUCCCUGCUUUCAGUGCACCUUUAUGAACUUCUGUGGUACUUGACUAUGACAGAAACUAGAAAUGAGAUGAAGGAGAUGCAGCAUGGAGAAGUUAAGUGACUUGUCUAUGGUCCCAUAAAACAUUUAGCGAUGUUUAUCACUAUGUCAUCAGCCAUGUGCCAGGUAAUGUGCUACAACCUGGGAUACAGUGGCAAGCAAAUUGAUACAGCUUUUGUUUUAUGAACUUGCAAUAUAGUUAUAUAGAGUAAUCAAAUUAUUACACUUGUAGAGAUGUAAUUCAAUCUCUGAUAGGAGCUAUGAGAAAUUUAUGUGUGCCAUGAGAAUAGAAAUUGAGGUGACUGGUAUGGUCUGAGGGGUCAGAUGGAGUUUAUCUGAGGAAUUAUAUUUGAGAUCAAAGAUACUAAGAUGUUAACUUAAAAUAGUGGGGAAGAUGCUACAGAAUAGUGAUUUAGAUGUCAUAAAGUUCUUAUUGUAGGGAUAAAAGCAUAGAAAAUGCACACGUAAAUACCAUGAAGUUACUGCGGUUGAACAGAGAAAAUGUAGAUGAGCUUGGUGCAAAGAUGAUACUACAAAUGUAGGCACAAAGGAACUCAAGAAUUGUCUGGAGGCUGUACUAAUAAAGUUUAAAAUUAUGUUAGAGCAAUGAAAAUCAUUCAAAGGUUUUAAGUAUGGCAGGGUCUGGGAUAGGAUGGAGGCAUUAAAGACAUGGUUUCUUCUUUUAAAGGUGUAUCUUGCAGAAGUGUGGAGAAUAGAUAGAAAGGGAGCAGAGCAGAGAGCAGUAGGCCAUUUUGGAGGCCAUUGUAGUAGAUUUGACAAGAGAUAGUAUUGGCUUGGACAAGGUGAUCAAGGGUGAUGACAAUGGAGAUGCUGAGAAGCAAAUGGACAAGUAAGUAAAAUGAAUAGAACUUGAUGACUAAUGGACUAUGGACGUGACUAAAAGAGAUAAGGAUUAUUUUCCACUGUAGGUUACUAGAGUAUAUUGAAUUUCUUUCCUGGGUUAUGCAGUAAAUCUCUGUUGCUUAUUUAUUUCAUAUAGUGUGUCUAUGCUAAUCUCAAUUCCCAAUUUAUCCUCUUCCACUUCUCAUUUGGUAGCCAGCCAUAAGUUUGUUUUCUAUGUCUGUGAGUCUGUUUCUGUUUUGUAAUAGAUUCAUUUGUAUUAUUUUUUAGAUUCCACAUAUAAGUUAUUCAUACAGUAUUAUCUUUGACUGGCUUUCUUAGUAUGAUAUUCCAUAGGUUAUCCAUGUUGCUGUAAAUGACAGUAUUUCCUUCUUUGUUAUGAUGAGUAUUAUUCUAUUGAGUAUGUAUACUCAUUGUUAUCCAUUAAUCUGUUGAUGGACACAUAGGUUGCCUCUAUUCAUAGCAACACUUCAUAGUGCUGCUGCAACAUUGAGCUAUAUGUAUAUUUUCCAAUUAGAGUUUUCAUCUUUUCUGGAUAUAUGCCCAGGAGUGGGAUGGCUAGAUCAUAUUAGCUCUAUUUUUAGUUUUUAAAGUAAUUAUACUGUUUCCAUAGUGGUUCCACCAAUUUACAUUCCCACCAACAGUGUCAGAGUGUUCCUUCUUCUCCACAUGCUCUCAGCAUUAUUGUAGACAUUUCGAUGGUAGCCAUUCUGAUCAGUGUCAGGUGAUAUAUCAUUGUGGUUUGACUUUCAAUUUGUCUAAUGAUUAAGUGUUGAAAAUCCUUCAAUGUGCCUUCUGGCAAUCUGUAUGUUUUAUUUGGAGAAAUGCCUAUUUUUGUCUUCUGCCCAUUUUUUGAUCAGAUUUUUUUUUGAUGUUGAGUUGGAUGAGCUAUUUGUAUAUUUUUAAAUUAACCCUUAUCCCCUGUCAGUGUCAUUGUUUGCAAAUAUUUCUUCUUCUUGUAGGUUGUCUUUUGUUUGGUUGAUGAUUUCCUUUGCUAUGAAUAAAAGCUUUUAAGUUUGAUUAGGUCCCAUUGUUUAUUUGGUGCUUUUAUUUAUUUUGCCUUGGGAAACUGAUCUAAGACAUAUUGCUACAAUUUAUGUCAGAGAAUGUUCUCCCAUGUUCUCUUCUAGGACUUAUUAUUGUGUCAUGUUAAAGCCUUUGGCAAUAUUUAAGCCUUUAGGCAAUUUUGCAUUUUUUUUGUAUAUGAUAGAGAGUGUUCUAAUUUCAUUGAUUACAUGCAGCUGUCCAGCUUUUCCAUUUGCUGAAGAGACUGUCUUUUAUCCAUUGCAUAUUCUUAACCUUUUUGUCAAGAUUAAUUGACUGUAAGCAUAUGAGUUUAUUUCUGGUUCUCUAUUCUGUUCAUUGAUCUGUAUGUCUGUUUUUGUGCCAAUACCACAUUAUCUUGAUUACUGUAGCUUGAUUACUAUAGCUUUCCUAGCUCAUGUCUAGGAAGUUUAUGCCUCCUGCUUUGGUCUUUGUCUUCAGGAUUGCUUGGCAUUCUGGAUCUGUGGUUCAUAUAAACUUUAGGAUUAUUUUGUUCUAGUUCUGUGAAAAUGUCAUGGGUAAUUUGAUAGGAGUCACAUUAAAUAUGUAAUUACUUUGUGUGGUAUACCCAUUUUAAACAAUAUUAUUUCUUCUAAAUCUAAGAUCAUGGAUAUCUUUCCAUUUCUUUGAAUAAUCUUCAGUUUCCUUUAUCAAAGUUUUAUAGUUUCUCAGCAUGUAAAUAUUUCACCUCCCUUGGUUAGGUUUUAUUUCGAGGUAUUUUAUAUUUUUGACAUUAUUUUAGAUGAGAUUUGUUUUUUACUUUCCCUUCCUAUUUCAUUGUUAGUGUAAAGAAAUAUAACAGAUUGCUGUGUUCUUAAUCUUAUAUCCAGUACCUUGCUGAAUUCAUUUAUUAUUCUAAUAGAUUUUUAUGGAGUGUUUAGGGUUUUCUAUAUAAGUAUCAUAUCAUCUGCAUAAAAUGACAAUUUUACAUCUUCCCUUCCAAUUUGGAUAACUUUUAUUUCUUUUUCCUUGUCUGAUUCCUAUAGCUAGGACUUCAAUACUGUCUUGAAUAGAAAUGAUGAGAGUGGGCAUCCUUGUCUUGUUCCAAAUUUUCAUGGGAAGUCUUUCAGUUUUUCACCAUUGAAUAUGAUGCUGACUGAGAACAUUUUUUUAGUUGUCCUUACUGGUGACUUGGGUUGAGGAUGUGUUCUGUGAGUGGAAGAAGUUGCCAAAUGGCCCACCCUAUGCUUGAGACUUUCUCUAUAACUUUUCUUUUGUUUUCUGUCUUUCUUUUGGCAAAUUAUGAUGUUCUUACUCUAACUUCCAGUGUUUUAUCAAAUGAUACUGUAAAAAUGCAGUAUGUGUUGUAUUUAUGGUCAUAUUAGUAUUUAACUGUGUAAUUAAAUUAAAGAAAUUUCUAGUUAUGUAAUUUUUAACAGAAAAAUGUGACUAUUAUUAUUUUUUUCUGAUCAGGAAAACAUACCUUGAUAAUUAAUGUACUCUCUACUUGCAAUUGAUCUGAAUGACUUUGGUCUAAUAGUUGAGUUGCCGUUGUGGCUCAGUGGAAACAAAUCUGACUAGUAUCCAUGAGGUUGCAGGUUUGAUCCCUGCCCCGUUCAGUGGGUUAAGGAUCUGGCAUUACCGUGAGCUGUGAUGUGGGUUGCAGAUGCAGCUCGGAUCUGGAGAUGCUGUGGCUGUGGUGUAGGCUGGCGGCUACAGGUCCAACCCCUAGCCUGGGAACAUCCAUAUGCUAUGGGUGCAGC